GACGAACGCUGGCGGCGUGCUUAACACAUGCAAGUCGAACGGAAAGGCCCUGCUUUUGUGGGGUGCUCGAGUGGCGAACGGGUGAGUAACACGUGAGUAACCCGCCCUUGACUUUGGGAUAACUUCAGGAAACUGGGGCUAAUACCGGAUAGGAGCUCCUGCUGCAUGGUGGUGGUUGGAAAGUUUCGGCGGUUGGGGAUGGACUCGCGGCUUAUCAGCUUGUUGGUUGAGUAGUGGCUUACCAAGGCUUUGACGGGUAGCCGGCAUGGGAGGGGGACCAGCGUCAAUGGGACUGAGGUACGGACCAGUCGCCUACGGUAGGCAGUGGGGGAGAAUAUUGCACAAUGGGGGGAAGCCUGUGACAGCAACGCCCCGAGCGGAAUGACGGCUUACGGGUGAUAAACCGCUUUCGCCUGUGACGAAGCGUGAGUGACGGUAAUGGGUAAAGAAGCACCGGCUAACUACGUG
This 468-nucleotide ribosomal RNA is filed under the name uncultured bacterium. RNAcentral's name for it is "partial 16S ribosomal RNA". It matches the Rfam family "Bacterial small subunit ribosomal RNA", at positions 28 to 507 of the family's 1533-position model. The record is from RNAcentral.